GCCAACUAGCUAGCCCACCCCUACAAAAACAACAAUUCAACCUAAAUAACCCCAAACACACGCCAUUCCGAUAAACAAAUCAUUCUACCACCCUAGUAUGGGCGACAGAAAAGGAACUAUUGGAGCAAUAGAGAAAGUACCGCAAGGGAAUGCUGAAAAAGAAAUGAAAUAAACCAGUGAAGCUUGAAAAAGCAGAGAUUAUUCCUCGUACCUUUGGCAUCAUG
RNAcentral lists this ribosomal RNA (224 nucleotides) under Scomberomorus guttatus (Indo-Pacific king mackerel). Its description in RNAcentral is "partial 16S ribosomal RNA". Lineage: Eukaryota; Metazoa; Chordata; Actinopteri; Scombriformes; Scombridae. The record is from RNAcentral.